GAAGCGCGAAAUGUAGUGUGAAUCGCAGAACAUUGUGAAUCAUCGAAUCUUUGAACGCACAUUGCGCCUCCUGUUACAGGGAGGCAUGCCUGUCUGAGCGUCAUUUAAACUAUAAAUCCCUUUGGGUUUGUAUUGGGCUUCGCCGCCUGUCGGUGUGGCCUUGAAGACAUCGGUCAAACGAGUGGACGAGAUCCAUCUGGGACUUACUGUUUGGAGGACCUAAAACCAUUGAGUUGACCUCAGAUCAGGUAGGACUACCGCCUGAACUUAA
RNAcentral lists this unclassified non-coding RNA (271 nucleotides) under uncultured Archaeorhizomyces. RNAcentral describes it as "sequence contains ITS1". The stretch from base 1 to 103 matches the Rfam family "5.8S ribosomal RNA", at positions 50 to 154 of the family's 154-position model. Lineage: Eukaryota; Fungi; Ascomycota; Archaeorhizomycetes; Archaeorhizomycetales; Archaeorhizomycetaceae. The record is from RNAcentral.